GGGUUACUGGUGUAAUUGGCAACACUAGGGAUUCCAAAUCCCUCAUUUGCGGUUCGAGUCCGUAGUAGCCUGCCA
RNAcentral lists this transfer RNA (75 nucleotides) under compost metagenome. RNAcentral's name for it is "tRNA-Trp". It matches the Rfam family "tRNA". Rfam says of the family: Transfer RNA (tRNA) molecules are approximately 80 nucleotides in length. The record is from RNAcentral.